GCCUUUUCUCCUAAUUCUUUUGCUCUUUUUCUUCUCAUUUCACCUUCCAUUUCUUCACCCAUUACUUCUUCAAUCACCUUCUUAAUAUCAUCUUUGCUUACUUGUUUUCCCAAUUUUUCUUCCUCCCCAAACAUCACUGGACUCUCUGUGCCCGCUUUCACUCCUGUCUUGAUUACAUUUACUAUUAGCCUCUCAUUAAUGAACUGCUCGGCAAACAUUGGCCAAGUGAUCAUCGCCACGCCAGCAGUUAUACCUUCCAGGCUCGAAUUCCAUCCACAGUGUGUCAAGAAUGCACCAACUGAAGGAUGAGAUAAUAUUAGUACUUGUGGCGCCCAACCAUGGAUUAAAAGUCCUUGUCCUUUAACUCUUUCCUCAAAAUCUUCUUCCACUAGCCAUUUCUCGAACUCAUCUGACAUGUGUCUAACAACCCAAAUGAAGGGUCGUUUCGAUGAUUGUAGGCCGAGCCCUAGCUCUACCAUCUGAGACGUGGAAAGGCGCGAUAGGCUUCCAAGACAUACAAAGAGUACAGAGGCUUGUUCCCAAGAAUCAAGCCAGUUUAGGCACUUGUGCUACCCUCGACGUAUUCUUUUUCCAAAUCCUCAAAGCUAUUCACCACUAUCCCAUAAGCUUCCUCCUCCGCUUUCUUCAUUUGAUCAGCGAUUUCUUUCCAAUCUACAUCUCUUGGAUUGAGAACAUUUGCGAUCUGUUUUUUGUUGAGUUCAAUCUUAUCGAAUAAUCCAGGCACUUGAAAGUACUGUGUAUCAGACUCAAUCUUUAUUAACUCCUCCCAAUUUCUCAAAUUGUGUAAGCACAACAAAGAGAAGCAACACAUCCCAUGGAAAACAAUCCUAGGGAUGUUAAAUUUGUGUGCAACAUUAGUUGUCCAUGAGAAACACAUAUCAGAUAUUACACAACUUGGUGAAGGUUUCAUUUCUUGCAACAUUUCUUCCACUUGGGGUUGAAGUCUUCUCGUAGCAUCGUAGAAUUUCAGCCCCAAAUCCAUCGAUGGAAGCAUGUCGAAAUUUUCACACCCUUCAGGUAGUCCAGCCUCUACGCUUGGAAAGUAGAGGUGAACCACCUGAAUCUUUAGUCCUGUUUCAAUUGCAUGAUCAACAACAUUUUUGAAUCUAUUGGCGUUCAAGCGUGUAGUAAGGAUUGUGAUUAUAACUCCGCGUUGUGCCAGUAAUCGCGCCAUGUCAAUCAUAGGAAUCAUAUGGCCUUGUGCCAUGAAAGGAAGCAACACAAAAUGUGGCUGCAUUGUUGGAACAUCCAUAUUUUUAGUAGAAAGAUGAGAGGAUAUAUAUUUUUGUUAUACUAAUUAAGGUUGUUAUACUGGGUUUCAUUAUUGCUUUGUACAGUGAUUAUGUAACAGCACAGUUAGCAUUAUCUUAAUGUGUGGUUGGCAUUGUGAAUUUAGAUUUGUGAAGAUGCUGAUUGGAUUAUCAUUGUUGGAAAAGUAUAAGAUAAGAUUAAAUAGAGCAAAUGCCCAAAAAUAGUCCAUAAUUUUUGGGUUAAGAGCACUAAUAAUUACUCAUAGUCCUCCCACAAACUUUUACUUAUUUUUUAGCAUUGAUUUUGUCCACAAUUUGAUGUAGAGAAUGUUCAAUCAUUUUUUAUAUAUAUAUUUAAUAGAAAUAAUAACUCUAUGUAAGAGAAGGUGAGAAAAAAGACCUUUAUUUUGUUCAGUAAAAAUAUUAUUGCAGCUAAACUAAGAACGUAUCUUUGAUUGUCGAACUAUAUCAAUUUAUUGUUGACAUAUAGUGUUGCAAGAAAAGAAAUUGUUGUACCACUGCGAUGUCAUAUGCCAACAAUGAAUUGAUAUAGUUCAAAGUAAAUGUAGGUUCAUAGCUUAACUGUAAUAAUAUUAUCUAUUUAACGGAACAGGUUGUUCUAUAAGUUAUUAUUUCAUCUAAAUAUAUUAAAAAAACAAUUGAACAUUCCAUAAAUAAAAAUUUGGACAAAAUCAAUAUUAAAAAAAUAGGCAAAAGUGUAGGAGAGGACUAAAAGUACGCCAAUAUUACAAACAUAAGGGACUAUUAAUGCCCCAUGUGCAAACCCAAAAAUGACUUUAAGUCUUAACCUAAAGAUAAGAUAUUAUUUUGAGUUUUAUACAAGAUAGAUGUAGGAAUAAAAAUGGUCCCAUUCUACAAGUUCUGGCAGGAAGUGUAUCAUUCUUAUAAGAGAAAAUACUUCUGAACUUAACGCGAAUUAUUAAUCUCAUCCCUGAGUUAUUGGCACUUUUGAAAACACCUCUCUACUUAACUAAUUGAACUUAAAUGUCCCCUCUCAUGCCAUACACAUAAACGUGUUAUUCACGCAGAAUUUUCUGUUGAUGUAGCAUAACAAUAUCAAUAAAACUAUCUGUGUCUUAUUAUAGUAACUGAACUUUUAACAUUACUAUAAGACUUGAUUUGAACUAUAAGGAAUACAUGGUUACCUCUUCAAUCAACCCUUUAAACGAUUUGCUUGCUCUGUAACAUAUUGAAUCAAUUGUGUCAAGUUGAGGUAAGAGGAACCCCCUUCCGCCACAGCCCUCUUUGCCUUUUCUCCUAAUUCUUUUGCUCUUUUCUUCUCAUUUCACCUUCCAUUUCUUCACCCAUUACUUCUUCAAUCACCUUCUUAAUAUCAUCUUUGCUUACUUGUGUUCCCAAUUUUCUUCUUCUCCAAACAUCACUGGAUUCUCCAUGCCGGCCUUCACUCCUGUCGCGAGUACAUUCACUAUUAGCCUCUCAUUGCAAAACUGCUCAGCAAACAUUGGCCAAGUGAUCAUCGGCACGCCAGCAGAUAUACCUUCCAGGCUCGAAUUCCAUCC
Molecule: long non-coding RNA, 2812 nt
Filed under: Solanum tuberosum (potato)
Lineage: Eukaryota; Viridiplantae; Streptophyta; Magnoliopsida; Solanales; Solanaceae
Description: long non-coding RNA (STUB_LNC010205)
Source: RNAcentral